Molecule: ribosomal RNA, 253 nt
Filed under: uncultured bacterium
Lineage: Bacteria
Description: partial 16S ribosomal RNA
Rfam family: Bacterial small subunit ribosomal RNA
Source: RNAcentral
UACGGGGGGGGCAAGCGUUGUUCGGAAUUACUGGGCGUAAAGGGCUCGUAGGUGGCCAACUAAGUCAGACGUGAAAUCCCUCGGCUUAACCGGGGAACUGCGUCUGAUACUGGAUGGCUUGAGUUUGGGAGAGGGAUGCGGAAUUCCAGGUGUAGCGGUGAAAUGCGUAGAUAUCUGGAGGAACACCGGUGGCGAAGGCAGCCAUCUGGACCGACACUGACGCUGAGGCGCGAAAGCGUGGGGAGCAAACAGG